GUCUUUGUAGUAUAGCUGUUACCUUGGUCUUGUAAACCAAAAACGGAGAACGUAAACUCUCCCCAAGACU
Molecule: transfer RNA, 70 nt
Filed under: Lobodon carcinophaga (crabeater seal)
Lineage: Eukaryota; Metazoa; Chordata; Mammalia; Carnivora; Phocidae
Description: transfer RNA-Thr
Source: RNAcentral